AAAGAUUCCUGAUACUUACCAGGAGUCUAAACUUUGAAUGGAUGAAUGGACACAAGAGAACUUUAAUGACAGCAGUAAAUCAGAACAUUUUUUUAAAGUCAUUCUCUACCAAAUUCCAGUAGUUUCUACCAGAGGUCACAAAUACAGGACAAGUACAGAAAGCACAGAAGUUCAACAACAAGAAAAAGAAAACAUGGCAAGUUGAGUGCAAGGCAAAAAAGAAAUAUUCAACACAAGUAUGUAUGUUACUUUCUCAGCUGUGUCCACUCUUUGUGACUGCUGUGGACUAUAGCCUGCCAGGAUCCUCUCUCUCUCUCCCCAUGGAUUUCCCAGGUAAGAAUACUGAAGUGGGUUGCCAUUUCCUUGAGUACUAAACUGGCUCAAAUCCUUAUUUUGUAAUGUGUCUUCAAGCAUCCA
RNAcentral lists this long non-coding RNA (417 nucleotides) under Capra hircus (goat). RNAcentral's name for it is "lncRNA (ENSCHIG00000007527.1)". The record is from RNAcentral. Lineage: Eukaryota; Metazoa; Chordata; Mammalia; Artiodactyla; Bovidae.